RNAcentral lists this ribosomal RNA (253 nucleotides) under uncultured bacterium. RNAcentral's name for it is "partial 16S ribosomal RNA". It matches the Rfam family "Bacterial small subunit ribosomal RNA", at positions 524 to 776 of the family's 1533-position model. The record is from RNAcentral.
UACGUAGGGUGCAAGCGUUAAUCGGAAUUACUGGGCGUAAAGCGUGCGCAGGCGGUUGUGCAAGACCGAUGUGAAAUCCCCGGGCUCAACCUGGGAAUGGCAUUGGUGACUGUACGGCUAGAGUGUGUCAGAGGGGGGUAGAAUUCCACGUGUAGCAGUGAAAUGCGUGGAGAUGUGGAGGAAUACCGAUGGCGAAGGCAGCCCCCUGGGAUAACACUGACGCUCAUGCACGAAAGCGUGGGGAGCAAACAGG